GAAAUACAGCCAUCGCCGCCACCAUUCCAACACCGGUUCUCUUGAGCGGGAUGAAGUCUUUGUGCCCAAACAGAAGUCCAGCAUCUAUUGGUACUCCAAAUACCUUAGCAACAACCCACUAGGCAGAGUCCUCACCAUUACCAUCACCCUCACUCUUGGCUGGCCCCUUUACCUGGCUCUCAAUGUUUCAGGCAGGCCUUAUGAUAGAUUUGCUUGCCACUUUAACCCACAUGGUCCCAUUUA
RNAcentral lists this long non-coding RNA (243 nucleotides) under Medicago truncatula (barrel medic). RNAcentral's name for it is "long non-coding RNA (MTRU_LNC005521)". The record is from RNAcentral. Lineage: Eukaryota; Viridiplantae; Streptophyta; Magnoliopsida; Fabales; Fabaceae.